Danio rerio (zebrafish) is the source of this 1745-nucleotide non-coding RNA. The record is from RefSeq and is a predicted model, not a curated record. NCBI's taxonomy places the organism in Eukaryota, Metazoa, Chordata, Actinopteri, Cypriniformes, Danionidae.
GCAGCCCAGUCUCAACCCUGAUCCUUCAACCCACUCUUGAUGCUUCACGUCCAUCACAUCUCGUCUUAUGCAAGCUUAUUCCAGCUUAAUCAGGCUUAUUCAUGCCUGAUACUCAUUUUACUUUACUCUAAGUGCCUAUCUCCAAUCUUGAUAAGAAAGCCUCCAUUUUUAUACAGUGCGGAUUAGCGCAACACGCUCUGGCUAAUUCAGUCGUCUGUAGUCGUGCUGUUUUUUUUCCGCGCUCUCAGUCACUUUGCUUGGGUCUUGUGUGGACUUCUUUUGUGGUUUAUGAAAGAGAUCUCUAUAAAAGAACAUGUGGAUUAAUAACCGGUCCUGAUGAGCGUGUAACGCCUCUACAGACUGAAUAAUUCUACAUUAGCUGCGAUGAAGAUCUGCUAAUCUGCUCAGCAGCUAUGCAGAGCGAGUCUUGCAUCAAUGUCAUGCCGGGUAAUUGGAAGUAUUAAUAUUAAAUCGCAUUGUUCUGCUUAGAAACACCUGUCUUGGUGAAACACUCGUGGGAGGAGAGGAACACAGCUGGAGGCGUCGGUCGCGCACACAGGACUGAAAAGUGUCUAGACUGACCGGCUCUCUAAUCCUACACUCACUUUCAUGCGGAUUACGCAUGUAGAAGAAAGGGCAUCCAGCGGAAGAAGGGAAAGAGCCAAAUGAAAGAGAUACUGCUUGUGAGAUCCAUGCCAAUAAUACACAUCUCUGGGAAGCUGGUGGAUGAGAAACUUACAUGCAAAUUCAGUCAAGCCACACAGUUGGAGGGAGAUUGAGAAGGCAAAAAAAUCAUGAGCAGGACACAAAUGAAAAAAAGGCAAUCUGUCUGGGAAAAUCGGGGUGGCCGAAUCAUCAUCACUGCCAGAAAUGUGAUCCCAGCUGCCUCAUACAUUGUUCAGGCAAGUUCAGUUUAACAUCGCUAAAUCUGCUGUGAUACACACUCGUUAUGAAUGUAAACAAUGGGAGACGAGGAGAAAGAGAGGGAGAGAAAUACUGUUCACAAAUGUAAACACAAUCAGUGAGGGGAAAAAAAUGCAUAUGAUUGGUGUUUGUUUUGAGCUGUGACAAAUUGUGCUGAAACAUACGAUACAGUCCUCGAACCCACAACUCUCCACAAGACCCACAUUUACUCUGCUUGAGGGCUGUUUGUAAAAUGUCAAAAUUACACUUAAGACCUCUGAGAAAUGUGGUUUGAAAUAAGAUAACGUACAGAGGAGGCGACAGAUGGGACAGAAAAUGAAUACAAAGAGAAACAUAAGCAAACCCUCCGCGAUGAAAGACGUGAGAGAUGUGAAGAUGGAGCAUGAAAGAGCUGCAGUUUGAGUGAGAGAGAGCUUCUGGUACUAGAGAGCUGGCCUGCAGAGGUCGAGUUCACUUCUCUUUGAGCUCUGGAGGAUCGGGCUUCAUCAGUGCCUUAUUCAUCUUUCUUUUCUUUGUUUCAUUUGCUGCCCCCUUUCAGAAGGAUGGCACGGAUUGAAAAGAAACGCAAGCUUCCAGGUUUUUCUCAUCUCUUGCAGAUUGUCCUAUUCAGUUUGAUCCAUUUGGUUGCUUUUAAUAGGCACCCUCAUUACAGGUGUAUGUGUGAGAGGGAUGAUUGUCGGAAGAUAAUGUCUGGAGGAAUGAUUUGUCCCUGUUGCUGUCUGGCCCGGUUUACACUGUAAUGGUUUCUGAUCUUUUGACACAUACAAAGAUUAAGGUUAUUGAAAAAAAUCGACAGCAACAUGAUUUUCUUUCAAAUAUUA